CCUACGGGUGGCAGCAGUGGGGAAUAUUGCACAAUGGGGGAAACCCUGAUGCAGCCAUGCCGCGUGUGUGAAGAAGGCCUUCGGGUUGUAAAGCACUUUCAGUAGGGAGGAAGAUAGUGUAGUUAACACCUGCAUUAUUUGACGUUACCUACAGAAGAAGCACCGGCUAACUCCGUGCCAGCAGCCGCGGUAAUACGGAGGGUGCGAGCGUUAAUCGGAAUUACUGGGCGUAAAGCGCAUGCAGGCGGCCUGUUAAGUCAGAUGUGAAAGCCCGGGGCUUAACCUCGGAAUUGCAUUUGAAACUGGCAGGCUAGAGUCUUGUAGAGGGGGGUAGAAUUUCAGGUGUAGCGGUGAAAUGCGUAGAGAUCUGAAGGAAUACCAGUGGCGAAGGCGGCCCCCUGGACAAAGACUGACGCUCAGAUGCGAAAGCGUGGGGAGCAAACAGGAUUAGAUACCCGCGUAGUC
RNAcentral lists this ribosomal RNA (465 nucleotides) under uncultured bacterium. RNAcentral describes it as "bacterial SSU rRNA". It matches the Rfam family "Bacterial small subunit ribosomal RNA", at positions 338 to 795 of the family's 1533-position model. The record is from RNAcentral.